UGCUAGUUUACAAUCAGCCUGGGUGACUUGGCAAGGUCCUCUCAAAAAAGGUUGUUUUUAGUUACAGAUUUCUUUGUUCCUUCUCCACUCCCACUGUUUCACUUGACUAGCCUUAA
This 116-nucleotide small RNA is filed under the name Cavia porcellus (domestic guinea pig). RNAcentral describes it as "Y RNA (ENSCPOG00000029627.2)". Lineage: Eukaryota; Metazoa; Chordata; Mammalia; Rodentia; Caviidae. The record is from RNAcentral.